CUUGCAUCUCGAAGUUCUCCACAUGCCGCUGCUCGACCACCACAUUAUGCUCUUUUCCUUCAUUGUCAUGAUCAGAGACGACAACAUCAUCGCAAGCUUGCAAUUCCUCACCUUGCACCUCCUUAUGUCCCUCCCCCAUUUUCUGCUUGUACUCCCGAGCUUCAUCAUUGGUACCAAUGGAUAGUUGAGGUUCCAGCGAUUGUUCUACUGGUUUUCCUGAAUCAAGGAUUUCAAUAUCUCUGUCAACUGCAUUUUGCAUUUUCUCCUGCAGAACCUCAAUUGUUUCUGAUUCCUCCGUGUUGGUAGUAUCUGUAGGCUGCUCUAUGGUGAUUGCCUUUUCCUGUGAUGGUACUGAAAAGCCAUCUGAUGCACUACCACCUUGAUCAAGCUUUUUUCCGUUCUUCUCCAUACCAACCUUGUCAUCCACCUCGGACAUGUUUGCAUCUUCACUUAAUGGUUUUGUAACUUCUUUCUCUCGUUCGAGAAUGUCAAUUGGUACUGCUGCAUCUCUUUCCACAAUAUCUGCAUUUUCUUCUACUCCAUUGCUGCUGUGCGUGUUCUCCAGCCCCAAAAUAAUUGAUGUUUCACCCAAUGCUUGGUAGUGCUCUAGACUCUCUGUAUCAGAGACUCUUUCUUCAGGGGUAAGUGCAGUAAGGUCUACUGUGUCUUGUCUGAUUUCAGCAGAACCUUGAAUACUGGUCUCUUCAUCAGGGACUCCUCGAGGGAGUUCUCCCAACUCAUCCACACCAUCUCCAUGCUCUUCUAAUUUCUCCACUACUAUUGUGUUCUCAUCAAAUAACUUAUCUGUUUUUUCUUCAGAUUCAAAAUGUUGUACUGAUGCCCCAUCUCCGGUCUUCACUGCACUGCUACCCAAAACACCCUCCAUCACCUCUUCAACGUCCUUGUUUAAUUCUUUUCCCUCUAGUACUGCAUUGCCCACAUCAUGAGAGUUGGCUAGCAGCUCUGUUGCACAAAGAGUCUGCUCUUCACAAAGUCCCUUUGCAUCAAACUUUAUUCCUUCAUCCCCCUUCACAAAAUCGUCAUCCCUUUCCAACUUCUGCACCUCCUGGCCACCCUGCAAGGAAGGGUUGUCUUCCACCGCCAUGCUUGUGUCCUCGCUAGAUUUGGCAGUAACAGUCUGUUCACUUUCUGCUGGUUGCUUUUUACAGUUUAGAAGAUCCAGCUUCUCCUGCAGGCUAACAAGCUCCUUCGCUACGGAUUUUCUAUAUUCCCUAACAGUUGGAUGCAACCCCUGAAUAGUGUCGAGCUUUAGUAGAAGACCCAUUAUGACUUCUGUGAGGAAAGUUCUUUGUUUGUUGUCCACCCCAUUGUCAGCUGAGCUCUCCAAAGUCUGAAUAUGCCUUUUGUGCUCAGCCAUCUGCUCCUCUAUUUUGGCUAACUGCUUCAAUUUCUUCAGAGGCUCCCAUCUCCGCAAGGUGAAACCUCGGUAUGCUGAUUGAAUCUUGGUAGCUGCCUCAUCAUUGGACAUUUUACUCCUCUUUUCUCGUUUCGUCUUAUUGCCUGCAUCCACUUCUUCAUUUACUGCUUGUCUGGCCUCACCUCUCUGAUGUGCUUCAUUGCUGGACUGAGCUUUCGCAACUACUGCAUCAAGUUCAUCUUUUGGCUUAUUUGCUGCUUUACCAGUAUCACCCUCAGCAAUUUUGCUCCUUGCCUGGCGUUUCAGAUCAGGGAAAACAGUACAUUGAUCAUGAAGUAUAUCUUCUUUAGCUGUCCCUUGUGCAACUUCAACAACUUUUGCCUUGCUUUUACUUGGCUCCACUUCUGUGCUUUUUCUUGGCAUGCUUGUUGUUGAUGAUUUGUCUAGUUGAACAUUCUCCUUCUCAUUUGAUUUGAUGGGAGGUUUGGAGCUGUCACUGCGCGAUUCUACUAAUUUCCCUUUCCCACGAGGAGGACUAGGAGACCUAGAAUUGCCACUACUGCUUUUCUUCCUAGGAAGGGGAUCAACCCUUAAACAAACAGGAGGCAACUUCGAUGACUUUGUAGGAGAAGUCGACUGUUUUCUCCCAGCUUCUUGAGUGAUUUUCUUCUGUUUAGCAUCACUUUCAUGCCUCUGGGAAGCCUCCUCUUUUUUUCCAUCAAAGAUCUCAUUCUGCUCCACUUGCUUUACAGGAAUGGUUUUCACAACAGACCCUUUAUUCAGUCCCUUUCCAUGGAAAUCACCUCCACUAUUCACUUCGUUUUCUUUAGAACUGCUUCUCUUGUCUUCAGAAUCAUGUGACAUUAAUUUGGUUAAUUUUGAGGGGGAGGUUGGCUCCUUCUCAGCAAUGAGGCCAGACUCGGUCUCCUUACCAACUUCCUCUCUGUCUUCCUCAGGUCUAUAAGGCAUCCAUAUUAUUGGAAAUGGAAACUGCUUCCUGAUUGCAUCAUCAUGAUGUUGCUUUUCAGGGAAAUCUCCGUUUUCCUUUGGUGAUCCCGAGCUGUUCCCAUAAUGAGAAGGCCAUAACUUCCAGAAAUUUGGUUGCUGGGAAGGCCUGAAAUCACCAAGCGGCUUCAAAGGUUGUGGAUUCUCCUCCUGCUCUUUACAAUUGGAUCCAUCAGGCUUCAUGCGCUCCCUAUUCUUCAUGUCAUCAGGUGGUAAGCACACAACUGGAUAAGGACAAUUAUUGAACCCAAAAGGAACCAAUGAGUCGUUACAAUCGUUUCCCUUGUCCUGGUCAUGUUCUUCUAUUUUGACACUACUCCCUCCUUUCUUACUGCCACAUUUAUGAUUUGAACAACCACAACAGUGAUGAUCUCUGCCCAUAUUCUUUUCAUACUCGUACCGGGGCUGCUCCAUAGUAAAAUGGGGAUGAGGAACAUAAUGAGUAGGAUACAUCACAGGAUAUGUAGGAUAACUACAGUUGUUGUAGGUAGAUGGUGGAAGGUAAGGAUAUGGAGGGCUAAACGCACACUGGCUCGGAGAAGUGUUAUGGAUACAGCAACUGUGGCACUCAGGUGGAUAAGGAUGCCUAUAGUUGCUACCACCACAAGGCCAAGAUUCAUAAGGUAAAGUAGAUCUAGUUGGAUCAAUGUUCAUAUGAUGAUGAGGAUUUGAUUCGAAACGGGGAUAAUAAUGAGGAUUGUAAGGUACUUGGUUCCUUUGGUAAGGAUUCGUAGGAUACAUAGCUUGGUUCAAAUGCAGGUCCAAAUUAAGCUUCCCUUUUGUGUGUAUAUAGAAUUACAGUUAAGAAAG
Molecule: unclassified non-coding RNA, 3193 nt
Filed under: Hevea brasiliensis (rubber tree)
Lineage: Eukaryota; Viridiplantae; Streptophyta; Magnoliopsida; Malpighiales; Euphorbiaceae
Source: RNAcentral